This is a long non-coding RNA of Talpa occidentalis (Iberian mole), 685 nucleotides long. RefSeq lists it as uncharacterized. The record is from RefSeq and is a predicted model, not a curated record. Lineage: Eukaryota; Metazoa; Chordata; Mammalia; Eulipotyphla; Talpidae. The transcript has 3 exons.
GCGUGGUGGGGAACUUGGAAAGGAGCUUGAAGAGGCAGUUGGAGAUGCCAUCAGAUUCAUCCAGAAGAACUUUGCUAAAGUAUAACACUGAACUCUGUCCUCUGGCACCAUGCCUUCAAAGACCUGACCUCUGACACUGCCUCCAACAUUUCCUGCUGAAUGACACCUGUGCAGGGUAUCCCUGAAAGAGGUGGUUGCUUUGGCUUUAGGCCCAGCAUCUUCAGGAGCUCUAACUCAUCUGGCAUCACCCCCUUAUGCUGUUACCAUUGGUAUCAUCUGGUCUGGUAUCCAGCCUUCAGAUUACUGAUGCUGACUUGGACUGCUUCUGCUGAUUGCUGUGUGCCCCCUCAAGUGAGACCUUCAAGACCUUGAUGACUUGACAUCUUUGUGGCCUUCGAACCAUUGCUGCUACCUCUGGCCCUGCCCCUUUCUCCCAAAUACUCUCUCUCCUUUAGGUCCCCUAGGCUUCAAAUUCCUUUCGUUUUUGUUCUGUGCCCCCGCUUGACACUGGGACUUCCCUAUGUACCACUCAUCAGAGUCUGCAUCUUGCAGUUCUUCGGCUGGGAUCUACUCGAGCAAUACUGGAGACCUGUUGGAGUGAUGUCAGAAGCAUGGGAGGGUGAGAGAAUUCACCAGAGCCAGAGCGGGGAGCAGAGCAGGCAGAAGGACCGAGGUACACUGCUGA